UAAAAGGAAGAAUCACAAGUCUCUCCCUUUAAAUCAAAAGCUAGAAAUGAUUAAGUUUAGUGAGGAAAGCAUGUUGAAAGCCCAGAUGGGCCAAAAGCGAAGUCUCUUGCACCAAACAGUUAAAGUUGUGAAUGCAAAGGAAAAGUUCUUGAAGGAAAUUCAAAGUGCUCCUCCAUGAAUGCAUGAAUCAUAAGCAAAUAAAACAGCCUUGUUGCUAUCAUGGGAAAAGUUUUAGUGAUCUGCAUGGAAAAUAAAACCAGCCACAAUACUCCUUUAAGCCAAAGCCUAAUCCAGAGAAAGGCCCUAAAUCUCUUCAAUUCUAUGAAGGCUGAGAGAAGUGAGGGAACUG
Molecule: long non-coding RNA, 349 nt
Organism: Sapajus apella (tufted capuchin)
Lineage: Eukaryota; Metazoa; Chordata; Mammalia; Primates; Cebidae
Exons: 3
Source: RefSeq, a predicted model, not a curated record